UACGUAGGGGCCUAGCGUUGUCCGGAAUCAUUGGGCGUAAAGAGCGCGUAGGCGGCCCGGUAAGUCCGCUGUAAAAGUCAAAGGCUCAACCUUUGAAUGUCAGUGGAUACUGCCGGGCUAGAGUCCGGAAGAGGCGAGUGGAAUUCCUGGUGUAGCGGUGGAAUGCGCAGAUAUCAGGAGGAACACCGGUGGCGAAGGCGGGUCUCUGGGCCGAUACUGACGCUGAGGAGCGAAAGCGUGGGGAGCGAACAGG
RNAcentral lists this ribosomal RNA (253 nucleotides) under uncultured bacterium. RNAcentral describes it as "partial 16S ribosomal RNA". It matches the Rfam family "Bacterial small subunit ribosomal RNA", at positions 524 to 776 of the family's 1533-position model. The record is from RNAcentral.